UUAUGUUGUCGACUAAUCGGUAAGUCAUAAAUUUUUGGUAUUUACUAUUGGGUGUUCGAGUCGCCCCAACAUAAU
Non-coding RNA from Penicillium canescens, 75 nucleotides. Lineage: Eukaryota; Fungi; Ascomycota; Eurotiomycetes; Eurotiales; Aspergillaceae. The record is from the annotation of a RefSeq genome assembly.